GAUCAUGGCUCAGGACGAACGCUGGCGGCGCGCCUAACACAUGCAAGUCGAACGGAGCUUAGAUUUUGAAGUUUUCGGAUGGAUGAAUGUAAGCUUAGUGGCGGACGGGUUGAGUAACACGUGAGCAACCUGCCUUUCAGAGGGGGAUAACAGCCGGAAACGGCUGCUAAUACCGCAUGAUGUUGCGGGGGCACAUGCCCCUGCAACCAAAGGAGCAAUCCGCUGAAAGAUGGGCCCGCG
Molecule: ribosomal RNA, 240 nt
Filed under: uncultured bacterium
Lineage: Bacteria
Description: partial 16S ribosomal RNA
Rfam family: Bacterial small subunit ribosomal RNA
Source: RNAcentral